CUACACGGAGACUUCCAGCAGCCCCCUCUCUGAGGCCGAGGAGUCUUGUUCAAAUACUGUCUGACUGAGAGAUAAUUAUGGGGGAAAUGCCAAUUCCACAUUUCAUAUCUCUGCACUUUAGUACUGUCAGAGCCCCACGGAGACGGGAUACGAAAGGAACAGUCUGACAGGCGAGGGAGGGGAGCCGUGCAGUCCUGGAACUGCGCCAGGCAAUGUGGAAGUCAUUGAGAUUUACCAGCAUCAUUUCCAUAAUCGUUUUUGGAUGCACAACAGCUGAAGAUUGUGCCUGGAUUCCCCUUUGCAAGCAUUCUGGAGUCACAACAUCGGCAUAGAAGGUGGCCAGCCUUCGGCUUUUGCAGUCGUUUGUGGAGUCUUUAUGGAAGAGCAGCGUGGUCAAGAGACCACGGCUGCGUAACCCCGUCUGCAGUAUGUGAGGCCGGAGUGCUGACCCUGGACCUGCCCAGUCAUGCCUUCUCGGUCAGCUGUUCAUCUCAUCUGCUACCACGGCAAAUACUUGGACUCAAGAGCAAGGAAUGUCCUGAAGACUUGCACAGGGAAAAGUAUUGGAGCUUGGAUUAAAUACAGAUUAACAACAACAACAACAACAACAAAAGCCAGGCUCAGAAAGACAGGGACAAAGAAACAGAAAGGAAGUUAAAAACAAACCACAGGACUGAGUUCCUUCAUUUCAGGGUCUAAUGAGGGCUGGCGGCCGUAGCCAUUCUAGAAUUCCCAACAUGGAGUUCCAAAUUUUCUAGAAACAAUGAAGAUCUAGUAUUUUCAAGCUUUUAUCAGCUUAUAUUACACUCUCAAUGAUAAUUUUUUUUAAUUCUUUAGUAGCACACCAACUAACACUAAAGUAAGCCACCUGGCCAAGCGUGGUGGCAUGUGCCUGUGGUCCCAGCUACUUGGGAGGCUGAGACGGGAGCAUCCCUUAAGCCCGGGAGGUCGACGCUGCAGUAAGCUGUGAUUGUACCACUGCACUGCAGCCUGGGUGACAGAGAGAUACCAUUUUAAAAAUAAAAAUAAAAAAAAUUAAGCUACUCAAUUUGCAGGAGAUCAUGCAAAGGUAGACAGAGCAGGCUGGUCACUGGAGCCCAGGGCAACCUGCAGACAGAUGCACCUGCAGACAGACUUUUGCUGGCAUCAUCUCCCACUCUUCCUCUGGCUGGUCCUUCCCCCUGAUGUUAUUUUUAAUGGUCCUGUGUAUUGUUGUGGAGGUCACCUCACAUGUUUUCCUAGUGUAGUGAGAAUACUAACCAAAGGCUGAAAAGAAAUCAAAUGCAAUGCCAGUUGAAAGACCUGAGACAGACACACAGGGAAUGCCUAGGUGCCUGACAGGGAGAGAAGCUCUCAGUGUGCCAUGGACCACGUGGAUGCUUAUCAAGGAGACCUGCUAACCCAGCUAAGAGAUAGUGGCCCAGCAGGUCUCAGAGGAAAGGACCCUUCUGGCCCCAGGUGGCUUGGGGUCCCUCAUCAGCACUCCCGUCACACCUCACAACCAGGGCCACCACACCAGGAAUUCGUGUGCAGAUUGUGUCUUGUGUCUGUCUUGAAGGCAUCUAAAGGCACUUGGAACUAUACCUUUUGUCUCCCCAACACUAACAAAAUCUGUGGCAUGUUGUAAAUACUUGGUGAAUGAAUUCCUAAAAGUUUGAAUCUGGACCUUCAAGGGAAGACAAUAUAUGGCUAUGCAGUAUUCAGAGGAUAACCAGGCAGGAAGAUCAUCAAGGUCUAGAAACACACCAAGAAGAGAGACUACGGCAUUUCAGUGCAGGCCAGGGGUGGCACUGGUCAAAGGCACAUGUGGAACUGUGUCAGGCUGAAUAGAUGAGCCGGCACCCAGCCAAGAAGCACCACUUCCGCCACGCCUCCUCUGGAAAUGGCACCCUACUUCAUUCAGGUGACAAAAUAUGGCCCUCACACUCGAAUACUGACCGUCACUCAAGGCACCUCUGUCCAGUUCUUCCAAAUCCAGAACAGUUUCAGCGAUAGCAGACAAAUCCACACAUAACAUGUUAUGUUUGAUUAUUCAGAGAUGAUCAUUUAAACAAUGAUGUCACUGCUAUCAAUGUAAGGCAUCCGGUGGAGAUGCCUGUCUUAGACACCCCUAAAUUUGACCAACCUUGACUUCCAAUUUGCCCGAGGGCAUGGAGGACAUUUGAGACAGCAUGCCCAAAAAAUCAAAGUGAAAUGUCCUCCACUAUUAUUCCAGGAACUUCUUCUGAAGCACCACUUGGGAAAUGCAGUCUCCUCCAAGGACAGCACUCACGCUGGUGUCAGCCACAUACUCCAGCUGUACCCGGGUUGAGGACCAGUGCAGACCCUCUCCCCUGCAUGCCACAUUCAGAAAGCAGAGGAGGCCUUGUGUAAGGUAUGACUACAAAAUAACACAACUCUCAGAAUCACUACAGAUACAGCAGCAUCCAAAGUCCUCAUCCCCCACGUUUUAAAUUCUCAAAAUAACCACUUAAAAUUUUGAAAUUGGCUGGGCAUGGUGGCUUAUGCCUGUAAUCCCAGCACUUUGGGAGGCCAAGGCAGGUAGAUCAUGAGAUCAAGAGAUCGAGACCAUCCUGGCCAACAUGGUGAAACCCUGUCUCUACUAAAAAUACAAAAAUUAGCUGGAUGUGGUGGCGUGCCCCUGUAGUCCCAGUUACUCGGAGGCUGAGGCAGAAUAGCUUGAACCCAGGAGGCAGAGGUUGCAGUGAGCCAACGUCGCACUACUGCACUCCAGUCUGGUGACAGAGCGAGAUUCCACCUCAAAAAAAAAAAUGCAAUGAACACAUGUCAUCCUGCCCAAGCCAAAAGAAAGAUGGGAGCUAUUUUCUCAGCUGGUAGCAUAAUUGUAUUAUUCGCAGAGGCACACUGAAGACUCAGUGUCAGCUCGGUGCAGUUAGAAAGAACGCUGACGGUGGCAAAGCUAAAUGGUCUUUGUCAGGCAUUCUCCAGCAUUCAAACGGGUAAUAUUCCAUAGCGUCUUUCACUAAGUCAGUUCAUGCAGGGAGGCAGAAGCAGGAGGCAGCGCUCUCAAAGUCACAGGCUCCAAGUGAGCCAUGCUGAAGUUUAGUUUCAUGGUCGAGGUUGCCAACUAGUAACUUUUAUUCAUACAAUUUUCAAGUUAAAAUCUUUAUUUCCAGCUAGGCGCGGUGGCUCAUGCCUGUAAUCCCAGCACUUUGGGAGGCCGAGGCAGGCAGAUCACGAGGUCAGGAGAUCAAGACCAUCCUGGCUAACGCGGUGAAUCCCCAUCUCUACUAAAAAUACAAAAACAAAAAAUUAGCCAGGUGUGGUGGCAGGCACCUGUAGUCCCAGCUACUCGGGAGGCUGAGGCAGGAGAAUGGUGUGAACCCGGGAGGCGGAGGUUGCAGUGAGCCGAGAUUGUGCCACUGCACUCCAGCUUGGGCCACAGAGCAAGGCUCCAUCUCAAAAAAAAAAAAAAAAUCCUCACUUCCACACUUUCCCACGGUGCCCUGGGAUCUUGGC
Molecule: long non-coding RNA, 3480 nt
Filed under: Homo sapiens (human)
Lineage: Eukaryota; Metazoa; Chordata; Mammalia; Primates; Hominidae
Description: HSALNT0136486
Source: RNAcentral